UUAAGCGACUAAGCGUACACGGUGGAUGCCCUGGCAGUCAGAGGCGAUGAAGGACGUGCUAAUCUGCGAUAAGCGUCGGUAAGGUGAUAUGAACCGUUAUAACCGGCGAUUUCCGAAUGGGGAAACCCAGUGUGUUUCGACACACUAUCAUUAACUGAAUCCAUAGGUUAAUGAGGCGAACCGGGGGAACUGAAACAUCUAAGUACCCCGAGGAAAAGAAAUCAACCGAGAUUCCCCCAGUAGCGGCGAGCGAACGGGGAGCAGCCCAGAGCCUGAAUCAGUGUGUGUGUUAGUGGAAGCGUCUGGAAAGGCGCGCGAUACAGGGUGACAGCCCCGUACACAAAAAUGCACAUGCUGUGAGCUCGAUGAGUAGGGCGGGACACGUGGUAUCCUGUCUGAAUAUGGGGGGACCAUCCUCCAAGGCUAAAUACUCCUGACUGACCGAUAGUGAACCAGUACCGUGAGGGAAAGGCGAAAAGAACCCCGGCGAGGGGAGUGAAAAAGAACCUGAAACCGUGUACGUACAAGCAGUGGGAGCACGCUUAGGCGUGUGACUGCGUACCUUUUGUAUAAUGGGUCAGCGACUUAUAUUCUGUAGCAAGGUUAACCGAAUAGGGGAGCCGAAGGGAAACCGAGUCUUAACUGGGCGUUAAGUUGCAGGGUAUAGACCCGAAACCCGGUGAUCUAGCCAUGGGCAGGUUGAAGGUUGGGUAACACUAACUGGAGGACCGAACCGACUAAUGUUGAAAAAUUAGCGGAUGACUUGUGGCUGGGGGUGAAAGGCCAAUCAAACCGGGAGAUAGCUGGUUCUCCCCGAAAGCUAUUUAGGUAGCGCCUCGUGAAUUCAUCUCCGGGGGUAGAGCACUGUUUCGGCAAGGGGGUCAUCCCGACUUACCAACCCGAUGCAAACUGCGAAUACCGGAGAAUGUUAUCACGGGAGACACACGGCGGGUGCUAACGUCCGUCGUGAAGAGGGAAACAACCCAGACCGCCAGCUAAGGUCCCAAAGUCAUGGUUAAGUGGGAAACGAUGUGGGAAGGCCCAGACAGCCAGGAUGUUGGCUUAGAAGCAGCCAUCAUUUAAAGAAAGCGUAAUAGCUCACUGGUCGAGUCGGCCUGCGCGGAAGAUGUAACGGGGCUAAACCAUGCACCGAAGCUGCGGCAGCGACGCUUAUGCGUUGUUGGGUAGGGGAGCGUUCUGUAAGCCUGCGAAGGUGUGCUGUGAGGCAUGCUGGAGGUAUCAGAAGUGCGAAUGCUGACAUAAGUAACGAUAAAGCGGGUGAAAAGCCCGCUCGCCGGAAGACCAAGGGUUCCUGUCCAACGUUAAUCGGGGCAGGGUGAGUCGACCCCUAAGGCGAGGCCGAAAGGCGUAGUCGAUGGGAAACAGGUUAAUAUUCCUGUACUUGGUGUUACUGCGAAGGGGGGACGGAGAAGGCUAUGUUGGCCGGGCGACGGUUGUCCCGGUUUAAGCGUGUAGGCUGGUUUUCCAGGCAAAUCCGGAAAAUCAAGGCUGAGGCGUGAUGACGAGGCACUACGGUGCUGAAGCAACAAAUGCCCUGCUUCCAGGAAAAGCCUCUAAGCAUCAGGUAACAUCAAAUCGUACCCCAAACCGACACAGGUGGUCAGGUAGAGAAUACCAAGGCGCUUGAGAGAACUCGGGUGAAGGAACUAGGCAAAAUGGUGCCGUAACUUCGGGAGAAGGCACGCUGAUAUGUAGGUGAAGUCCCUCGCGGAUGGAGCUGAAAUCAGUCGAAGAUACCAGCUGGCUGCAACUGUUUAUUAAAAACACAGCACUGUGCAAACACGAAAGUGGACGUAUACGGUGUGACGCCUGCCCGGUGCCGGAAGGUUAAUUGAUGGGGUUAGCGCAAGCGAAGCUCUUGAUCGAAGCCCCGGUAAACGGCGGCCGUAACUAUAACGGUCCUAAGGUAGCGAAAUUCCUUGUCGGGUAAGUUCCGACCUGCACGAAUGGCGUAAUGAUGGCCAGGCUGUCUCCACCCGAGACUCAGUGAAAUUGAACUCGCUGUGAAGAUGCAGUGUACCCGCGGCAAGACGGAAAGACCCCGUGAACCUUUACUAUAGCUUGACACUGAACAUUGAGCCUUGAUGUGUAGGAUAGGUGGGAGGCUUGGAAGUGUGGACGCCAGUCUGCAUGGAGCCGACCUUGAAAUACCACCCUUUAAUGUUUGAUGUUCUAACGUUGACCCGUAAUCCGGGUUGCGGACAGUGUCUGGUGGGUAGUUUGACUGGGGCGGUCUCCUCCUAAAGAGUAACGGAGGAGCACGAAGGUUGGCUAAUCCUGGUCGGACAUCAGGAGGUUAGUGCAAUGGCAUAAGCCAGCUUGACUGCGAGCGUGACGGCGCGAGCAGGUGCGAAAGCAGGUCAUAGUGAUCCGGUGGUUCUGAAUGGAAGGGCCAUCGCUCAACGGAUAAAAGGUACUCCGGGGAUAACAGGCUGAUACCGCCCAAGAGUUCAUAUCGACGGCGGUGUUUGGCACCUCGAUGUCGGCUCAUCACAUCCUGGGGCUGAAGUAGGUCCCAAGGGUAUGGCUGUUCGCCAUUUAAAGUGGUACGCGAGCUGGGUUUAGAACGUCGUGAGACAGUUCGGUCCCUAUCUGCCGUGGGCGCUGGAGAACUGAGGGGGGCUGCUCCUAGUACGAGAGGACCGGAGUGGACGCAUCACUGGUGUUCGGGUUGUCAUGCCAAUGGCACUGCCCGGUAGCUAAAUGCGGAAGAGAUAAGUGCUGAAAGCAUCUAAGCACGAAACUUGCCCCGAGAUGAGUUCUCCCUGACUCCUUGAGAGUCCUGAAGGAACGUUGAAGACGACGACGUUGAUAGGCCGGGUGUGUAAGCGCAGCGAUGCGUUGAGCUAACCGGUACUAAUGAACCGUGAGGCUUAACCUU
This 2902-nucleotide ribosomal RNA is filed under the name Escherichia coli. RNAcentral's name for it is "bacterial LSU rRNA". It matches the Rfam family "Bacterial large subunit ribosomal RNA". RNAcentral also lists the same sequence under 1 other name. The record is from RNAcentral. Lineage: Bacteria; Pseudomonadati; Pseudomonadota; Gammaproteobacteria; Enterobacterales; Enterobacteriaceae.